This 253-nucleotide ribosomal RNA is filed under the name uncultured bacterium. Its description in RNAcentral is "partial 16S ribosomal RNA". It matches the Rfam family "Bacterial small subunit ribosomal RNA", at positions 524 to 776 of the family's 1533-position model. The record is from RNAcentral.
UACAGAGGUCCCAAGCGUUGUUCGGAUUCACUGGGCGUAAAGGGUGCGUAGGCGGUCGGGUAAGUCUGACGUGAAAUCUCCGGGCCUAACCCGGAAACUGCGUCGGAUACUAUCCGGCUAGAGAAUUGGAAGGGAGACUGGAAUACUUGGUGUAGCAGUGAAAUGCGUAGAUAUCAAGUGGAACACCAGUGGCGAAGGCGAGUCUCUGGACAAUUCCUGACGCUGAGGCACGAAAGCCAGGGGAGCAAACGGG